AUCACCUUUUAGUAUUUCAUGUUAAGAAUAUUAAAUAUAUAAAAUAGAUAUUGCUUACAUGUAUAGGUGAAAAUUGUAUGACCACAUGUUUGUUAACAUUUUAUAGGGGUUUGGAUGUGUUUGUUGUGUUCCCUGUGUUUGUACAGGUUGCCAAAGUUAUUUCAUGAUUAUGCUUUUAAAAGAGUUCCCUUCAUUUGACGGGUUCAGUUUCAAUUAGUAUUUAGCCAUAUUUUGGAUCUAUAAUUAACUAAAACAUAUCUUCCUGUGUAGCUCUUUUCUUCUGAUCUUAUGUCUCAAUUAUUUUGUGAAGGACUCACAAAUGAAGUCGGGAAGCAGGCAACUUCAUCCGCUGUUCCUGCAAUGCGUGGAAAUGAGUCUUCCACUCCAGCUGCAGGAGGAAUGGCUAAUGCCGGAUCUAGGGAGAGUAUGCAAUCGCAGCUUUGAAUAAAGUAAAGCAAAUAAUUGAGUAGCUAAUGUGGAAUUUGGUAUCUGACAAAAAAUUAUCAGUUGAUUUGCAAGCCAGAAAUUCACAUAUUUAGACAGAUUAAUACACUUCUAGAAUACUGAAACAUAAAUGAGAUUGAUGUAUUCCAUUACAAAAGAUUAUUAAUCCAUAUGAGAAUUCAGAAUUGAAAUACUGAGAGCAGUUGAUUAUUAUCUGUGUUUGAUAUUUCAUUUUUCUGCAAUAUUUAUAACAUUUAAAUGUUGUAAGCUAUAUAACUUCUUGUUUUUGUGGAAUGUAAUUGACAUUAAGGAACUCAAUUAGGCAAUUGUGACCAACUUAUUAUCUGAAAAGCAAGCCAAUCCAAAGAUAAAAUUAAUUUCUAAUGAAUCACACAACACCAUUACGAAAUACGGAUGUAAUUUAGAAACUAACAUGCAUGUCUUUAAAACAAAAAUAGCUCAACUAUACUAAGCAGUUCCAACUGCUUACUAUGGAAGACAGUACUACAAAUGGUGAUUUUUUGAGUGUAAUGUUUUGUUUUCCUGACAAACUCAGGGUUUCUAUUUAUAUUGCUGUUGCGAUUACUACUUGCUUCAUUAGCUGAUGAUCUUGGCCUUAGUCUUUUGGGAGACGUAACACCACCAGGUGCCAGAAUAGUAGGUGCAGAAGAUUUGUCUCUGGAUGAUACUGCCAUUCGAGGUGCAUGUUUCAUGGAUUCCAGUUCAUUUGACAUUAGGGAGUUGAUUGUCCCAGUGGUUCCAACUUUGAUGGACCCUCCACCACCUUUGAUGGACUCCAAUCUCUAUCAGAGUUCUG
RNAcentral lists this long non-coding RNA (1261 nucleotides) under Panax ginseng (ginseng). RNAcentral describes it as "long non-coding RNA (PGIN_LNC003408)". The record is from RNAcentral. Lineage: Eukaryota; Viridiplantae; Streptophyta; Magnoliopsida; Apiales; Araliaceae.